Molecule: long non-coding RNA, 1328 nt
Organism: Chelonia mydas (Green sea turtle)
Lineage: Eukaryota; Metazoa; Chordata; Testudines; Cheloniidae
Exons: 5
Source: RefSeq, a predicted model, not a curated record
CCGGGCGCUCCCCGCGUGGGGAACCAGCCUCAGCCCCUCCCUCGGGCACGGGCCCGCGCAGCGCUCCCCGCGAAGGCGGCGCUGACAACGCUAGGGAUUAGCUGGCGGGGGGGGAGGGGGCGCCACGGCAUGAGGCGCUCCCUCUGCGCCGCCCAACGAGCAGCACCGGGCCCGGGGAGCCGAGCCGAGCCCAGGAGACAGGAGAGCCGCACAAGGGGGGGCGCAGUGCCGCCGCGGGGCCGGUAGAAUUAAACCAUUCAUACGGGACACCGUCGGUAACGGCAGCAACCCUGACUCCCGUGCGCAUGCGCACUCACCUCGCCGGAGCCCGACUGGCGGGCAACGCACAGGCCGGAGAAGCGGCGCAAACGCGACAGAGCAGAGAUAAUGAGGCAGUGGAUGAUAGCUCGACCCAAGUAGACACAGCCAAACUAUCGGAGCACCUUCCUGGACAAAGAUGUGGAGUACCCCAAACACCACCACAGUGACUAGAUCAACAAAUGAGCGGUGGAUCUUCAGAGAGUUGCGCGUGCACACACAUGACAUGCAGUGGUAUAAUCAGCCCUUUGUACUGGAAAGACAGGUCUCAGCUGUAAUUUUGCAAACCUCCCACCCUCUACAAGACAUAGCGAUGCCAUCAGAAUCUUCACCCCUCUCUCCUCCUAGAGGCCAACUGGAGACUCUUCAGAGACACACCCACCCAUGUGGAGAAAUCAGCAGCAGAACUUUCCCGCUGCUCUUUCCUCGCAGCAAGGAGGGUCACAAGGAAAUGCCAUUCCCCAUGUUAAAAUCACUUCUUUGACUCAGCCAUACCUUUUGUUUUUAAAGGGAAAGUCAGGGCUAAAGUAAAGAGAUGAGAGGCGGUAAAAAAUAUCUGACUUCCAUACAAAUCCUGCAAGAUGAGCUCUUCAAGAUUUAGAAUCCGCCACCACGUCGAAUGGAAACAAUCAGCCUUGACAGAGGCCAGAAGAAGCUCAGGGCAAUCCUCAGAAGAAUCCAUUUCAAAGGGUGACUGGGCUAUAAAAAUGAGGGGCAAAAGCACCCCAGCAUAUUUCUCCAUCACUCUAUCUUAUACCUAAGAAGACAAAGGAACCAGACCUUUGACUUUGAGGGGGGCAUCCUGACCUGAGAGUUUGGUCACCAAUGUUGCUGGGAACAUGUGGUAAGGAUUUUACCUUGAACCAAGUAUAGUUUGUGAAAUUUUAGCUGUUAGAAAGCUUUUUAUCUUUACUUUUCUUGUAACCAUUUCUGACUUUAAUGCCUUAUACUUGUACUCACUUAAAAUCUCUUUAUAGUUAAAUAAACUUUGUUUAUUUUUUAAAUCAAAA